AUGCUGCGCUUGGUGCCUGUUGCUCAAGCAGGCUGCAAAAUGAAUUUCUCCCCAAAAGCUCACAAUCUAAGAUCAGGAAUGAUUCAUGGACUAAAAGAUGUUUUCCAAGAAAUAAUGUUAUAUCUUAGCAAGGAGGAAAAUGUAGAUGUGAAAAACUUCUCUGCUUUCCUGGGGAGCUGCCAGUUUUGUGGGCUUGCCCAUGUGUUGCCCCAAUCCUGCUGCAUCCCACGGCACCAAACCUGCCCUGGGGUGGCCUCGAAGGGGGCUGGGAGAGCAGCCGUGCCUUCACAGCUUCCAGGGGACCAAAAGCACCUGAGCAGCCUCCCAGCUCUGAUGGGACCUCCUUGCAUCCUGGAAAGCACUGGCAGGAAAACCCUGAAGUCGUUGCAGGUCAGACUUUGGGUAUUACAUAAAAAGGAGAUUUGGGCUGUGGACACACGAGCACAUUGCCCUGAGGAUCCCAUAAAUCAACUGACCUGUGAGAGCCGCUUCUUAUCUGCGGCGAAAACCAGCCCAUGCAAGGAGGAAUUGGCUCUUUCCUUCUCUACGAAGAUGCAUGAUCAGACUUCCAUGGCACAUCCAGCUUUGCUCGAAGAGAGAGCCCAAUCGCCUGGAUGCGCUAUGAAAAAAACUAGGAAGCAGCUUCCUACGUGUUUUCACAGGAGAUGGCAUCACUUCCACCAAGAGCAAAGAGAUGUUUCUGCAGUUCUGGUGUUGGGCAGCAGGCUCAUGAAAGCAUUUCCGUAA
RNAcentral lists this long non-coding RNA (747 nucleotides) under Anas platyrhynchos platyrhynchos (common mallard). RNAcentral's name for it is "lncRNA (ENSAPLG00000022342.1)". The record is from RNAcentral. Lineage: Eukaryota; Metazoa; Chordata; Aves; Anseriformes; Anatidae.